AUCUUUUGGCCUUCUCAAUAUUCUAGUCGUGUUGUUCUUGUAUUAGGACUUGAGACUUUGGUGAUUAAUAUUUUGUGAGUCUUAUUGUGAACAUGUUUCUAUAGAAUACCAAAAGCACUGGUGAAUGAUUGUUCAGAGAAGAUAGAAGCCAUUGCUUCCAAAUUGGUUGUCCCCGUGCUUUUCACUUGGACACUUCCAGUCAACCAUGCAAGAAUCUGAGAAACCUUAUGAUGUAACUUCUAUAAAUGAAAGCCCUUCUAAGACCGAAGGAUAAAUUCUUACUUCCCCGAAGUUGAGGAGAAGAUUUGUACCCCAAUCAAGCGUUGAAGAUAGACCUCAUAAUUAUGCUAACACUGAUCACUCGGCUCCUGUCAAAUUGGAUGCAGCUGCACAGAUUCAUAUUCAAAAGCACAGAAAGCUUCAAGAAGACUUGGCAGAUGAAAUGGUUAGGUUGGCACAACAGCUUAAAGAGAGUAGUCUCGUCAUGAGUCAAUCCAUCAAAAACACGGAGAAAAAUGCUUCAAGUCUGAAUAAGCAGGGGUCAUUGUUUGCCGAAAUAUGAUCAGUGAUUCAGAAAAGAAGAGGUACGUGGAGAAAGGGAUUACGUUUCAUCAUAUC
Rhododendron vialii is the source of this 618-nucleotide long non-coding RNA. RefSeq lists it as uncharacterized. NCBI's taxonomy places the organism in Eukaryota, Viridiplantae, Streptophyta, Magnoliopsida, Ericales, Ericaceae. The transcript is spliced from 5 exons. The record is from RefSeq and is a predicted model, not a curated record.